RNA transcript from Pangasianodon hypophthalmus (striped catfish), 10135 nucleotides. It is a transcript of the gene named beta-1,3-N-acetylgalactosaminyltransferase 2, with no coding region annotated. The transcript has 6 exons. The record is from RefSeq and is a predicted model, not a curated record. NCBI's taxonomy places the organism in Eukaryota, Metazoa, Chordata, Actinopteri, Siluriformes, Pangasiidae.
ACCCUCUCUAGCGCCAUGCGCCAUCGGGUAUGCGGACGCUGGAGUUCAUAAGACGGGAAGAAUACGCAGCGGUUCUGGCAGCUGGCUAGUGUCGAUUUGCAUUACUCACUAUUAUUGCAGUUUGAAGUGUAGUUUUCUGUUAUGGAUACACAGGGUCCAAGGUUUUUAUAAUUAUUGUGAUCAAGUAAUCAGUAGUUCGUGAAUACAGUUAAAACAUACUCUUGGCUUUGGUGAGCUUGCUAAUGUUAGCUUGUCUAACUGGAAAAAAAUCGAUAGCGGAAACAACUGGAUCAUAAAUUCCAGCAUUGCAAGAUUUUACUUAUUUGUGGAAGUUGCAGGGGAUGGACAAUCUGGAGGAAAAAGCUACUGAAAGGAUUCUACUAGAACCAUACAAUUACCUGCUGCAGCUACCGGGGAAACAAAUCCGAACUAAACUGUCCCAAGCUUUCAACCACUGGCUCAAUGUACCUGAGGAUAAACUUCAGGUAAUCAUUGAGGUAACGGAAAUGCUGCACAAUGCUAGUCUCUUGAUCGAUGACAUCGAGGACAGCUCUAAGUUGCGGCGUGGUUUCCCUGUAGCUCACAGCAUCUACGGUGUGCCAUCCGUUAUAAACUCUGCAAACUACGUCUACUUUCUGGGCCUAGAGAAAGUGCUGACGCUAGAACACCCUGAGGCUGUGCAUGUGUUCACUCGCCAGCUGUUGGAGCUGCACCGUGGCCAGGGCUUGGACAUCCACUGGCGUGACACGUACACUUGCCCAAGCGAAGCAGAGUACCGUGGGAUGGUACUGCGCAAGACUGGUGGAUUAUUCGGCCUGGCGGUGGGCCUCAUGCAGCUCUUCUCAGAAUGGAGCUGUGACCUCAAACCCCUACUAGAUACACUUGGGCUCUUGUUCCAGAUACGCGAUGACUAUGCCAACCUCUGCUCACGUGAGUAUGGUGCGAACAAGAGCUUCUGUGAAGACCUGACCGAGGGCAAAUUCUCCUUUCCCACCAUCCACGCCAUCCAUACACAGAUCCAUAGCACACAGGUGCAGAACAUCCUACGCCAGCGCACUGAGGAUGAAGACGUCAAGCGUUACUGUGUUGAUUAUUUGGAGAAGGUGGGCUCCUUUGCUUACACCAGGCAGAAGUUGCAUGAGCUAGAAAAGGAGGCAUACAGGUUGAUUGCAGAAUUAGGGGGGAACCCAGAGCUGGAGGGACUUAUAGAGCAUCUUAGCCACAUUUACAAGGAAUGAGAGGAAGCAGCUUCCAAAGAAGAGAGCUGGGUCACUCCUGAAUUUCUCGUCCCUCUCCGAACUCCUCUCUCUUCAUUUUUCUCUUUUACCCCAUGUUCAUUUUGGCAAAAGUGAGAUUAAAUGGCUUUCAAUAUUGCACUUCUUUCCCCCAACUAAUUCACCUAUUUUUAUAAAUCAGUAAAUCACCUCAGUUUUGACAUGCAUUAGAAGAAUUUACCUAUAAUCAUUUUCUAGUCUUACUGUCAAAAUUUUUAUUGUCAUUUCUGUUGUGACUGUGUCAUACAAGGGCAACAAAGACCUAAGCAAACAACAUAACAGAUGAAGCCCAAAUGUCUUCAGUGUAUAGCAAAAACAAAAGAAUUGACUUUGCCAUUCCAAUACUUUCAGAGGGGACUGUAAAUGUGCUGAUGGAGGAAAGUUUACAAAACAUUUUCCUUUCAAUAGAAUUCUACACAUGAUUAGUUUAAGGUGAAUUUUACCUUUUGUUUUUAUUCAAUACACUGGCAAUCCACAGUGCUGGGAACAAUGUAGUAACUUUACAAUAAAUUAAAGAAGCAAAUAGUAAUCACUCUGAGAUGGAGAGUUAGUCAGUUAACAAAUCAGAAAAUCAGAAAGAUAAGUUGCUUGCCCAGUUAUCUGUUUCUGUUUAUAUAUUCCAUGGCAGCUAUUGGAGUUGUUCUGUGUUCAAAAUCCAGUGUGUGCACAGUAAAUACGCAUUUAUAUAGUUUGCAAGAUUUCACAGGUACUUCCGUGACAUGCAGUUCCAUGAAAUCUGCUUUUGGCCCAAUUUCUUGUUGGAAAUAUAGCUAUGGUGAAAGUCCUAGAAGGUUUCAUAUGUACAAGUCAAAAUUUAAUUCUAAACAGCUUUUGGCACAAACACAAAUUAAAUGUUAUCACUGAGAAUUUGCUUUCCAAAAGCAUCAUUACUUGGUCAAAUGUCACUUUAGAAUGAAGCUGUAUAUUUUACUGGUGGUGAUACUGCAAAGAUUUAGAAAAAUCCCUAUUGUCCCUGUAAUUGUUAGGAUUCUUUGUAUUUUCUAUCAUUAUUAUUAUUAUUAUUAUUAUUAUUAUUAUACAAACAUAGUAUUUGGAACUCUAUUGUUUUAGUUAGGCUUUUUCUUAUUUAUUUAUCUAUCUAUUUUAUUUAAUUUAAUUUAAUUUCCUCCAAUAAAGUUGUGCAGACCAAACCAUAGGUCUGACAGACAUGAAACUUGGUCAGUACGCAGUACUCCCACUACUCAGGCAAGAGAAAUGAGCCUGGUCGGUGUACUAGUGGCACUGUAGGGAAGCAUUGAUAUUUUGGGUUAUAUCUUGAAUACCAUAACUCCUAAUACCAUAUGCAAAGUUUGGGGCAUGGUCAUGCAUAAGGGGUGGAGCUAUGGUCCGAUAAUUGGUUCUCAAGAACCAUACAUGCAAUCGUGUGGAAACUUGGUAUACUGCAUCUCUAGGUUAAUGUUUAAGUGGAUCUCUGAUGAUGACCAUGAUUGGCCAGUCAGGUUUCAGCAGGCAUUUGACAGGGUAAACAGUGAGCUAUUAAUCCAUUACAUAAAUAUGGAUUUAGAUUUAAAUAUCCCUAAUGAGCAAGCCAGAGUGUGAUUAAAAAUCAUUACUCUUCCACAGCUGUAUACUAUAGAGUCAAACAGUGCUAAGUGUGUUAAAAGGAUGUUCAGUAUGAGCACUUAACUAUGGGGGGCAAGGAAAAGAAACACUCAAACAUAUUAGUAUAAUAAAAAUACAUCACAGACUCUAGCAAGCAGCAGAAACAGGAUUUGGGCUACAUCAUAAUGCAGCACCCAUGAAAAGACUGGGCAAUUGCUUAAUCACCAUCAUGUAAAAUAAAUUUACAAUUAGUAGUCUUUAUUAUAUUCUUAUGUUAGAUAUAAAAGGGUGUUGGCAGCAUUAGUAAAAAGUCUAAUUUGUGAUAGGUGCAGGCAUCGAGAUCUACCAGGCUCUGCCAAAGAAUUUUGAGUGGUCAGUUGUGGGUGCGGUCCAUCAUAUCUUAGGGACAGAGAGGACAGAUUAUAUCGGAUAAUACAUAAUUUUCUAUUUGGACAAAGUUGUUUGCAUCAAGAUUAUAAAUCAAUUUUUUUUAUCUUUAAGUUUUUGGGUGCUCAGAAAAAUGUGAAUCCUUAGAUUCUUAGAUUUAAAGAACCUGGUUAAAUACUAUAUCCAUGGUCUCUUUCAAAACACAACAGGAACCAGCUAGUCUGCACUGUCGUAUGUGGAACCUUGAAUACUGAGAUCUAUAGCAGGUUUGGUCUUGUUGUCAGCCACAACAGUGAUUUGAGAAGAGAUGAGAGUAAAUUCCCAUUUGGCAUGGCACUGUUUAGAGAUGCACUUGAGGUCAGUGUUAUUGAAGAGGUGGAGGAAUCAGUGAAGAGUGUGGGGAAAUAUUAGGUCCACAGCUUUGCCCAUUCUGCACGGUCCGGUGCCAAUAAGGAAGGCAAUGGCUCCUUAAUAGGAACAAGUAUGAAAGCUGAAAAAUAUCUAAUAAUAUCCUGAGCAUUGUUCCCUUGAAUUUGGGAUAAAACAGGAUGGUCGCCAUGCACAUCCAUGUGUGAAAAGGUUUAAAUGUGUCUGGGUGUUUCAGAGGAGGAGAGGAGAUCAUAAGUCCAGAAGCUCAAGCAAAAAGGUGUUUAUUAUGCCAUAGAAAAGAGAGUAUACUCUCAGUAAAUCUGAUACAAGAGCAAUUCAAGUAACAGACUGACCUAAAAAUCACAGAUCAGUUCAUAUACUGCAGAAUUCUAGCACACGAGUGGUUAUGGAGAAAAGGAGGACAUCAAUCUAACAAACAAGGAGUAAAGACAGGGUUACAUGAAACUUAAAACUGACUGAACCUGGUUUCUACUGUGGUGGCAAGAAACUAAAACCUUGAAGGUGUGAUAAAAGGAAAACACUGCAUCCCAUACAGGGUCACUGCAACAUCAAAAAUGUAAUAGAAAAGACUAAAACAUGAAUUAAUUAUGUGUGCAGAUGAUCAGCAAGUACAAACUGAAAUCAAAAUAUAAAAACAUAAUACAGGUACUGAAUAAUACUUCAGAAAAACUUAAUAAAACUUCACCGAUAUUCAAUUGCCAGAUUUUUGAGAGUUUUUGAGAAUGAGGAGAUAAUGGCAUAGGAAUUAAGCAAAAAGCGCAAUUUGCCUGUAUUCAAUAGCCUCAAAAAAUGCCAAGCAAUCAGGGCAAUUAGAAAUUCCUACAGUAAAAUUUCUUCAUAUUGAGUAUUUUGGUAGUACAUUACACCUAUUUUAAUAUGUAACUGUCAAAUUUUUGAGGCGUUUUAAAAAUGAGGAGAUAUGAAAUGGCAUUCUAAAUUAGCAGAUUUUUCCUUUUUUAUGCACAGCGUUCACUGAAUUUUAUAAGUAAUUUUAGUGAGCUUCGUGGCGCCAUCUACAGGCGCGAGAUUGUAAGUUCCGGAUCUUUUAAUGUGGAACGGAAAAUCCCAAACAGAAGCUGGCGAAUAAGAAGCCAACGUGCCCUCAAAGAAUACGACGGCAAUGCACUGUAUUUAAAUUUAAGCAACUGAGACCUAACUGAAUCUUAAAAUCGAUUACAUGUUAAACAACUUUGCUUGACAGAGAAGAUAAUAAAACUGUACCUGAGACGUAGAUUUAUCCUUUAAAAUAGAGAAAGUAAAAAAUUUUAACCAUUUAUUAAACGAUACAUUAGUUUAAAAUGCCAAUUCUAAUUGCAAUUAAACUUUUUUAAACAUAAAACAUUUCACAUGAAACACUUUCUUAAAAAAAAAAAAAAAAAACCUGUGCAAAACUAAAACAAAAUCUUGUGUCCUAGAUUCAAGUCGAGUUUGUGAGUCUUUGACAUUAAGAGGGUUUAUAUCAACAUUCUAAAUAAUGGAUAAGAUUAAAAUUGAGGCCCAUCACAAUAGUUAUGCAUUGUGGGGUCAUUUCUUUUCAAGUACAAGUAUUGCAUUUGGUCAUACACUCACCCUCCACUUUAAUAGGAACACCUGUACACCUGCUCAUUUAUGCAGUUAUCUCCUGGGAGUCUCUAGAGUUUACAGAGAAUGGUGUGGGGGAAAAAAAAAAAAAACAUUGGCGACAGUUCUAUGGGUGGAAAUAUCUUGUAAAUGUUCGAGAGGCCGGAUUAGGUCGAGCUGCCAGGAAGGAUAUAGUAACUCAUACACUGACAAUACACUGUAACCCUCUAUAAAUACCUCCAAGAGAUGUAUUUUACAUAUAGUAUUAUACACUUUGUGCAAAAACUCAGUUGAAUAAAUCGUUUUUAAUUUUAUAAGAUUACUUCAUUUCUUAGAAGCUGACACAUAAAUGUGUAGACUAAUUUCACAUGGACAUCCACUUCUCGGACAUGCACUUCCACUCUUUUUUGAAUUUGUUAAUAAGUUUGGCAACAGUGUUGUGUGUGAUGUGCAUGCCAUGUUUCCUUGUAGAGUCCAUCUCAACCUUGCGACAGCUUCCCGAUCCAGCCAUGAGAAUGAUUUCAAUAUGUUCUUUUGUCAAAGGCAUUCUUAAAAGCUAUCUGAAAUUAUACAUACAUACAUACAUACAUACAUACACACACACACACACAUAUACAGUACCAGUCAAAAGUUUGGACACACCUUCUUAUUCAGUGGUUUUUCUUCAUUUUUAUUGUCUUCAGCAUUGUAUAUUAAUACUGAAGACAUCCAAACUAUGAAAGAACAUGUAUGUAAUUAUGUAGUAAACAAAAACGUCUUAAAUAACCCAGAAUGUGUUUUAUAUUUUCGGUUCUUCAAAGUAGCCACCUUUUGCUUUGAUGACAGCUUUGCACACUCUUGGCAUUCUCUCAGUCAGCCUCAUGAGGUAGUCACCUGAAAUGGUUUUCUAACAAUCUUGAAGGAGUUCCCAGAGGUGUUGAGUACUUGUUGGCUGCUUUUCCUUCACUCUCCAGUCCAACUCCUCCCAAACCAUCUCAAUUAGAUUUAGAUCAGGUGAUUGUGGAGGCCAGGUCAUCUGAUGCAGCAUCCAUCACUCUCCUUCUUGGACAAAUAGCUCUUACAUAACCUAGAGGUGUGUUUGGGGUCAUUGUCCUGUUGGAAAACAAAUGAUGGCCCCACUAAGUGCAAACCAGAUGGGAUGGCAUGUCUCUGCAAAAUGCUGUGGUAGCCAUGCUGGUUAAGUGUGCCCUCAGUUUUGACUAAGUCACCAACGGUGUCACCAGCAAAGCACACCCACAUCAUCACACCUCCUCCUCCAUGCUUCACAGUGGGAGAAACACAUUCAGGAACAGUCUGUUCACCCUCUCUAUGUCUAACAAAGACACAGCAGUUUUCCACUGAUCUAAUGUCCAUUCCUUGUGUUUCUUGUUGUUCUUCCAAAGUAAUGGUUUCUUUGCUGCAAUUCGACCAUGAAGGCCUGCCUCACGCAGUCUCCUCUGAACAGUGGAUGUUGAAAUAUGUCUGCCACUUGAACUCCGAGAAGCAUUUAUGUGAGCUGUAAUCAGCGGUUUCUGAGGCUGGUAAUUCUAAUAAACUUAUCCUCUGCAGCAGGUAGCUCUUGGUCUUCCUCCCUGGGACGGUCCUCAUGAGAGCCAGUUUCAUCAUAGCGUUUGAUGGUUUUGGCGACUGCACUUGGGGAUACACUUGAGAUUUUUCGGAUUGACUGACCUUCAUUUCUUAAAAUAAUGAUGGACUGUCUUUUCUCUUUACUUAACUGAGUGUUUCUUGCCAUAAUAUAGAUUUGUACAGUAGUUGUAGUAUCGCUAAUAGGGCUAUUGACUCUGUACCCACCCUUCCUCUGCAUAAGACAACUGAUGGUCUAAAGCACAUUAAGAAGGCAAGAAAUGUCACAAAUUACCUCUUGACAAGGCACACCUGUGAAUUGAAAACCAUUCCAGGUGACUACCUCGUGAAUCUAAAAAUCUUAAUCUAAAAUCUUAAACAUACACACACACACAUUAUAUAUAUAUAUAUAUAUAUAUAUAUAUAUAUAUAUAUAUAGGAAACCAUUUGCUAAAAAGUGUUAAUUCCCUCUAUGUAGUGAGACUUUUGGGAUAUCCUGUAGUUCUAAGAGAGUACACAGCAUUACGACUUAAUGUUUUAAGUAUGAAUUAUUAUUUUGUACCAGCAUGUAUGAAAACAGACUUUCUGUGUAUAACAAAUAUUUUUGUAUGAAUGUAGAUAAGUACGCGCGAGUUUUAUUGACAGUAAUGUUACUCCGUAUUCGUCGCAGCAAACUAAUGGAAAUAUUCAACUUUUGCUCAUCUGACUGUGUAAAAUAAGAUCGCGUACUUUCUAACUUCUGACACCAUGUAGCUAAAGUCGAUUAGGCGCAUUUGUAAACUUGUCACUUUUUCAACAGCGGCGUAAUGGUGCUGGCAUCCGCUUUCACACUUAUACACAGCACGUAACAUGCUCACGCAGGUGUGUCCUUCCGCAUGAACGAUAUUGGGAAUAAUAGGGCAUAACUACACAUUUUUCUCCAGCUAAAAUUAUUCUAGCACCUUAUCUCUUUAAUUUCUUUCCUAAAAAAUCAGAUUAGAUUCUAUUGUUAAUUGUUUAAUUAGCCGUAAUUACAAGAGCCUUUUGCUCCAAAUUCAGCCAAGCUUUAGCAUAUACCCAUCGCAGAAACCCGUGUGCGAGUUUAUAGGAGGUUUUUCGGUAAUCGCCGUAGCUUCCCUGAUAUAAUUACAAAUUACGACCGCCGAUCCGGAAAAAACAAAGAAAACUCAACUCGGCACUUCUACGGCUCGUGUUCAACUCCAGGCUCAGCAAGUGACGUAAAAUAAACACGGCCUGCGCACAGCGUCAGCAGCACAUAAAGUAGCACGUCUUAUUUUUUUAAUUAAUUAUGCCGUGUGUACAAGUAUUUACUUUAGAUCAAUCACCAUGUUCGCUUGUAAAAAUCUAUAUAAUUGACAAUACAGAACGCUGUUUUGAGGCGGAAAAUAUUCAUCACUCAUUAGCUGGUUAGUUUGCUGCUAACAAAAGACAAACAUGGAGGCGUUUUCCCCACCCACCUUGUAGCUCAAAAAUGAAGUCAUUCUGAGCUCCGACUUCCCACUUCCAAGGUAAUGAAUUCCGAGUUACGAGUUUUACCAGAACGCAGCAUUAGUACUACAUCUCCCAGAAGCCCCCUGUGGGUCCUCGGCUUCAUUUCUAUUGGUCGAUGACGGUGCUCAGUGGGCGUGAGAUAUGAUCAAUCCGCAAUGUCCGACGUGCUGAACGACCUGCACUUUAAAUUUAUUGUGUGUCUCUGUCUGGCUCGUCCAUGAGAAGUUUAGCACUGUUCCUACUCCCGUGUGUGAUCGCGGUGCUGGUGCAUGAGUGGUGGUGGCUGAAGGACCAAACUGAUUUCUUCUCGGAUGUCAGGGCUGCAGAAAUAUAGCAAGAAAACAAAAAUGCAAAAGCCUGUUCUAGGACUGAGAAGUACCUGCUACUUGGAGAGCAGAAAAAAGAGAGAGACAAAGACAUCCCUUCACACCCAACGGACCUAAGAUGGCUCCAGCCUGUCUAGGCUAAACGACAGGUCGUUAAACAUUAAGGGAUGAUAACGGUCAUCGGAACGCAGAAAACCCCCAAAAAAAAGGGUGUAAAUUACCCCUCCGUGGAACUGACCUCGAAUUGACCACCCUUAACAGAUGCCUUUUGUUUGGAUUAGGGAACUGGUUGAGAUUUAUCACACUACACCCUACUCAGCUUCAAGUGACCUUUGUUCCCAACUGAACCAGUAAAAGGACUCCAGGCCUAAGACUCCUCCACUUUUAAGAAUGCCCUUUUCUUUCUCUGUAUCUGCCUUAUUUUAUUUCAAUAUAAUCGUUGAGUUUGUGUUAAAUCUGUAUGGGGAACAUGCAUUCCCACAACCUGUAUUAAACCAGAGGGCAAGAGUUAACUUACACUUCAGCCACGGUGACUUCUCACAUGGUGGGAAGUCCAGUGUUACCUCCAAAUCACGUACUCUAACCAGCAUUAUAUUACAACCCCACUAUUAAUGGAAUUGUAUAAUAUUAAGUCUGUUUCUUUCUGUAAACAUGCCAUUAUACCCAGUAGCUAAUGGCCAUGGCUAAUGUAUGUCAUGUGUGGUAUCUGCAUGCUUGUCUUCAUGUGCUGAAGCUGUUGAUGAUUUUCAAUUCUCAGUACCUCAUAUCAUACAUUUAUUAUAAACAUUAAAGGUAAAUAAGACCACAUUACAUGGACAUUAAGAAGGGGGCAACUCGGGAGGGGUCGCUUGCAAAUUAGCUGGAGGGCCAGCCAAGCCACUCUCCAAUCAUCUCCAAACCGGCCUGCAGUUGGUUGAAGACCUCAAGAGGCCGGCUCAUCUAAACUAACAUAAAACCACAUGCCCAAGACACAGAAAUACAGGAACGCAACAACAAAGAACAGCCGGAGCGGGAGCUGGAGCUGAGACUGGAACGGAGCUGGGACCAGAACAGAGCUGGAACAGGAAGAGAACCUCCCCCAGAAGAUUCCAAGACUUGCAUCACUGAACCUCGCUUGACUCGACCCUUCGCCCAGCCGUCCAGACUCCAGCCUCCCUCUCCGGCGACGAUCAACAACUUCUCUAACACCCUCCAACUCCGGUCCGACUAGAACCUGCUGGCCCACACCAACUCCUUCCAUUCACCACCUAGGCAAAGCAAGUAUUGAUACCUCCCAACUUCAUUAAGCUGGUGCAGUAAACCUAAAACUCUUUUCACCGAUUAAUGCUGAUUUAUGUUGAUGGUUCACUCAGGUCAGGAUCUCGUGAUUUGUCAGGUUUAUGUCUAAGAACUCAACUCUCUGAUUAUUCUCACUGGUUCUUCUCAUUCCAUAUCCCUACAUGUAUGAAUGUGUAAGUCUGUGUGUGUGUUGGUUGUGUGUAGUAGUUUAGGAUAUAUGUGUAGUAGUGUAGUAUAUAUGUGUAGUAGUUUAGUAUAUGUGUAUAGUAGCUUAGUAUAAUAAAGUCUCGUCUGAUGUUUAAA